GGAGGUUGGUGGUGGACGGUCCACUCGCCAACCGGGUCAGGUCCGGAAGGAAGCAGCCCUAACGAGCCCGGAACGGG
RNAcentral lists this signal recognition particle RNA (77 nucleotides) under Mesorhizobium sp. RNAcentral's name for it is "partial signal recognition particle sRNA small type". It matches the Rfam family "Bacterial small signal recognition particle RNA", at positions 1 to 77 of the family's 97-position model. From Rfam's summary of the family: The signal recognition particle (SRP) is a universally conserved ribonucleoprotein involved in the co-translational targeting of proteins to membranes. Archaeal SRP consists of a 7S RNA and homologues of the eukaryotic SRP19 and SRP54 proteins. The record is from RNAcentral. Lineage: Bacteria; Pseudomonadati; Pseudomonadota; Alphaproteobacteria; Hyphomicrobiales; Phyllobacteriaceae.